This 422-nucleotide RNase P RNA is filed under the name Botryobasidium botryosum FD-172 SS1. RNAcentral describes it as "Nuclear RNase P". It matches the Rfam family "Nuclear RNase P". Rfam says of the family: Ribonuclease P (RNase P) is a ubiquitous endoribonuclease, found in archaea, bacteria and eukarya as well as chloroplasts and mitochondria. Its best characterised activity is the generation of mature 5'-ends of tRNAs by cleaving the 5'-leader elements of precursor-tRNAs. Lineage: Eukaryota; Fungi; Basidiomycota; Agaricomycetes; Cantharellales; Botryobasidiaceae. The record is from Rfam by way of RNAcentral.
AUAGAUGGAAAGCCGCGAUUGCUUGCAACGCGCCAGACGACAGACUAGCCCCAAGGGGCAUCGCUCGUCUCAUCUCGCAAGCGGGCCAAGGUCUGAGUAUUCCAGUCCCCCUAGAUCGACUCCAGCUGGGUCCGGCCUUAACAGGGGCACGAACGGCGUACCAGAAAUACUGCCUGCGUCGUCCUUUCUACACCCGGAGAUCUCUGUACCAGAGUGAGGGUUCGACCGCGCAUGGCAUUGGGAUCCGCCGUGGGGACUGAGUGGCUGGUAUUCAGAGGCUUAUUGCCCCUUUCGUUCUUCGAUCGUUUGGGAUGCACAUGCCCCCACCGUCACUCUUCAGUGCACUUCGCGGCUCGCGCUAUCCACUCUCUCGCUCCCAUGCAGAGAGGCGCAAAACUCGAUUCAGACUACUCUCCGUCUGC